GCAGGUGUAGUAUAAUGGUUAUUAUGACUGCUUGCCAUGCAGUAGAUGGGGGUUCGAUUCCCCUCGCUUGCUCCA
Molecule: transfer RNA, 75 nt
Filed under: Tenericutes bacterium HGW-Tenericutes-1
Lineage: Bacteria; Bacillati; Mycoplasmatota
Also listed under: 1 other name
Description: tRNA-Gly
Rfam family: tRNA
About the family: Transfer RNA (tRNA) molecules are approximately 80 nucleotides in length. Their secondary structure includes four short double-helical elements and three loops (D, anti-codon, and T loops).
Source: RNAcentral